This 497-nucleotide ribosomal RNA is filed under the name uncultured bacterium. RNAcentral describes it as "partial 16S ribosomal RNA". It matches the Rfam family "Bacterial small subunit ribosomal RNA", at positions 28 to 507 of the family's 1533-position model. The record is from RNAcentral.
GACGAACGCUGGCGGCGUGCCUAAUACAUGCAAGUAGGACGCUGAAGAGAGGAGCUUGCUCUUCUUGGAUGAGUUGCGAACGGGUGAGUAACGCGUAGGUAACCUGCCUUGUAGCGGGGGAUAACUAUUGGAAACGAUAGCUAAUACCGCAUAACAAUGGAUGACACAUGUCAUUUAUUUGAAAGGGGCAUUUGCUCCACUACAAGAUGGACCUGCGUUGUAUUAGCUAGUAGGUGAGGUAAUGGCUCACCUAGGCGACGAUACAUAGCCGACCUGAGAGGGUGAUCGGCCACACUGGGACUGAGACACGGCCCAGACUCCUACGGGAGGCAGCAGUAGGGAAUCUUCGGCAAUGGGGGCAACCCUGACCGAGCAACGCCGCGUGAGUGAAGAAGGUUUUCGGAUCGUAAAGCUCUGUUGUAAGUCAAGAACGGGUGUGAGAGUGGAAAGUUCACACUGUGACGGUAGCUUACCAGAAAGGGACGGCUAACUACGUG